GAUGAACGCUGGCGGCGUGCCUAAUACAUGCAAGUCGAGCGAACGGACGAGAAGCUUGCUUCUCUGAUGUUAGCGGCGGGCGGGUGAGUAACACGUGGAUAACCUACCUAUAAGACUGGGAUAACUUCGGGAAACCGGAGCUAAUACCGGAUGAUAUUUUGAACCGCAUGGUUCAAAAGUGAAAGACGGCCUUGCUGUCACUUAUAGAUGGAUCCGCGCUGCAUUAGCUAGUUGGUAAGGUAACGGCUUACCAAGGCAACGAUGCAUAGCCGACCUGAGAGGGUGAUCGGCCACACUGGAACUGAGACACGGUCCAGACUCCUACGGGAGGCAGCAGUAGGGAAUCUUCCGCAAUGGGCGAAAGCCUGACGGAGCAACGCCGCGUGAGUGAUGAAGGUCUUCGGAUCGUAAAACUCUGUUAUUAGGGAAGAACAUAUGUGUAAGUAACUGUGCACAUCUUGACGGUACCUAAUCAGAAAGCCACGGCUAACUACGUG
RNAcentral lists this ribosomal RNA (497 nucleotides) under uncultured bacterium. RNAcentral describes it as "partial 16S ribosomal RNA". It matches the Rfam family "Bacterial small subunit ribosomal RNA", at positions 28 to 507 of the family's 1533-position model. The record is from RNAcentral.